Molecule: long non-coding RNA, 713 nt
Organism: Mustela erminea (ermine)
Lineage: Eukaryota; Metazoa; Chordata; Mammalia; Carnivora; Mustelidae
Exons: 3
Source: RefSeq, a predicted model, not a curated record
CUUGAGUGGCCAGCUGCUCUGAGCCCUUGCCCUGGUUUCCGGCCCUCUCUAGCUGACCUCUGAGACUCAGAUGGAGAGACUGAGCCCUGAGGUGCCCAGACCCCUCGAGUCCCCAGCUGCACAUGAAGAGAUGGAUUCAGACAGAGACUCCCCCUUUCCCCCCAGCGAGGGUGAGUUUUGCAUCUUUAGGAACAAGCCUCAUGCCCCAGGGCUGGCCCCCACCAAGGCUGGCCCGUCUAGGCUUCAGCUACACCAUCUGCAAAAUAGACAGUUGUGAAACGCUAAAGGAGGGCCCGGCUCCUGGCAGGGUGAGUGACUUGCAGCCCAAGGAAGGCUGAGCUUCUCUCCAUGUGGCCACGAGACCCUAAUGCCUCCAGAGGGCAUCUAAGGAGAAUGCUGAAGGAUAAGUAGGAGUUUGCAAGGAGAAAAUCUUAGUUUACAAACACAUUUGUGGUUUCUCAUUCACCAAUAAGAUCAAUUUUCAUCCGUUCAUCCAUUCAUCCAGAACUUUCUAAUGCCUCCAGGGAUCGUUUAAGGAUGUUUUAAAUAAUACCCAAAAGGAUGCGCCUGGGUGGCUCAGUCGUUAACCAUCUGCCUUCGACUCAGGUCGUGAUCCCAGAGUCCUGGGAUCGAGCCCAGCAUUGAGCCCCCCACCAAGCCCUCCAUCAAGCCCCCCAUCAGCUUCUCUGCUCAGCAAAGAACCUGCUUCUCCC